Long non-coding RNA from Vicia villosa (hairy vetch), 1069 nucleotides. RefSeq lists it as uncharacterized. Lineage: Eukaryota; Viridiplantae; Streptophyta; Magnoliopsida; Fabales; Fabaceae. The transcript is spliced from 3 exons. The record is from RefSeq and is a predicted model, not a curated record.
AGCUACUCAGUGAGUUUCUUUUGUUUGAAAUGUUGGGUUUAAAGGUACAAAAUACGAAUGACUAGAAUUCAUGAUGUUCUACAACUUACUAUGAACGGUCCCUUUUUUCUUCUUCCAUGCAUCUUGAUGAGACUGGAAAAAGAGGGUCCUAAAUUGACAAAGUGCUCAAUUUUGAGAAUGACGAUGUAAUCUUUGAGGAGAUAAUUAUUGGAUGCUGGAUACACCUCCCAUUGGAAGAACCUACCAUACAAAGUAUGGCCCUCCCAAGGCUCCUGGUGUUGAUGAGGUUUACCUGUACGGUGGUCAUGUGACUUGGAAGAAUGAACAUGGUUCGAAUUGUGUUUCCUCAGUAGUAAGGGAACAAAAGCUAUAGAAAGUUUGGCUAUGAAUUUGCAAAUUAAGGACAAGUAGAAUUUACUCAAGGGACUAAAGAAGAUCCUAAGUCUCAGUCAGCCAAGGUACAAGACAAACACUCACUAUAAUUUGUUAUAAGUUGCAUUCCUCAUGUAGGAUGACAAGAAGAAUGAAAUUUCAUCAUCUAGACACCAUCCACUUGAAGGUUCGCAUCAAUAUAAUGGUGUAUUUCAUUAUAAUUUAUAGGAGUGUGUAAUAACUAAUUAUGUAAAAUGAUUAUAUAAGCUUAGCAUUCCCUAGAAUAUAAAUAUGAAAAAUUUUCUUGUUGUUUCAUUUCAAUCAGGUAAGCAUUUUCUCAUAGUUUAAGUCUCUUAGAGACCUUUCUAAUUUCAACUUAUGUCAUAUUAUAUUGGUAUAUGAGUUUGUAGGAUUAAUAGAACUCAAUUUUACUAGUAGCCAUGGAGUGAACAUGCCAUGGUUGUAAAGUACUUUUGCUAGUAGCCAUGAAGUGAACAUGUCAUGAAUGUAGCUUUUUGAUAUUUGCACACCACAAGAAUGAUUUUGUGUACAAUUUUUUUUAUUUAUAAAAUGUACUACAAUAGCAUUUUGGAAAGAGUGCUAUUAAUGAAACGUCUUAUAAUAGCACUUUUAAGAGAAAGUGCUAUCAAACAUGUGCCAUAUAUUAGCACUUCCUUUGAAAGUGCUAUUAAACAUG